GUGCCAGCAGCCGCGGUAAUACAGAGGGUGCAAGCGUUGUUCGGAAUUAUUGGGCGUAAAGCGCGUGUAGGCGGUCAUCUAAGUCUGGUGUGAAAUCCCUCGGCUCAACUGAGGAAGUGCAUUGGAUACUGGAUGACUAGAGGAUGAGAGAGGAGAGUGGAAUUCCCGGUGUAGGGGUGAAAUCCGUAGAUAUCGGGAGGAACACCAGAGGCGAAGGCGGCUCUCUGGCUCAUUUCUGACGCUGAGACGCGAAAGCGUGGGGAGCAAACAGGAUUAGAUACCCUCGUAGUCC
Molecule: ribosomal RNA, 292 nt
Filed under: uncultured bacterium
Lineage: Bacteria
Description: partial 16S ribosomal RNA
Rfam family: Bacterial small subunit ribosomal RNA
Source: RNAcentral